GCCUAGGAAUCUGCCUGGUAGUGGGGGAUAACGUUCGGAAACGGACGCUAAUACCGCAUACGUCCUACGGGAGAAAGCAGGGGACCUUCGGGCCUUGCGCUAUCAGAUGAGCCUAGGUCGGAUUAGCUAGUUGGUGGGGUAAUGGCUCACCAAGGCGACGAUCCGUAACUGGUCUGAGAGGAUGAUCAGUCACACUGGAACUGAGACACGGUCCAGACUCCUACGGGAGGCAGCAGUGGGGAAUAUUGGACAAUGGGCGAAAGCCUGAUCCAGCCAUGCCGCGUGUGUGAAGAAGGUCUUCGGAUUGUAAAGCACUUUAAGUUGGGAGGAAGGGUUGUAGAUUAAUACUCUGCAAUUUUGACGUUACCGACAGAAUAAGCACCGGCUAACUCUGUGCCAGCAGCCGCGGUAAUACAGAGGGUGCAAGCGUUAAUCGGAAUUACUGGGCGUAAAGCGCGCGUAGGUGGUUUGUUAAGUUGGAUGUGAAAUCCCCGGGCUCAACCUGGGAACUGCAUUCAAAACUGACUGACUAGAGUAUGGUAGAGGGUGGUGGAAUUUCCUGUGUAGCGGUGAAAUGCGUAGAUAUAGGAAGGAACACCAGUGGCGAAGGCGACCACCUGGACUAAUACUGACACUGA
Molecule: ribosomal RNA, 638 nt
Filed under: uncultured bacterium
Lineage: Bacteria
Description: bacterial SSU rRNA
Rfam family: Bacterial small subunit ribosomal RNA
Source: RNAcentral